Molecule: long non-coding RNA, 770 nt
Filed under: Malus domestica (apple)
Lineage: Eukaryota; Viridiplantae; Streptophyta; Magnoliopsida; Rosales; Rosaceae
Description: long non-coding RNA (MDOM_LNC019786)
Source: RNAcentral
GCCUAUAAAUAUAUCCAUCCAAAGACACAUUCAAGGGGACAGUUUAGGAGAAGGGAGGAAGAAACAUUCUGCCGCAAGGCAGAGUCUUUUCUUCUUAACCAUUCUACACAUUUCCACAACAAAAACACAAUUCCAUGCACCUUCAUUUCCCUUUCCUUUCCGUGACCUCUAUCCAACCUAAACACAUUCAGCCAUUCCCUUCCAUAUAUCCAUAUGCAUCCAUCAAACCACACCUUGUGCCGCAACAAAGAGAAGAAGGAGGACCCUUGGACGUGCUUGCCAUUCAAGUUGGAUUGUUGGAGCGUUUUUAGGUGUUUUCAUUCUUUUGUUUUCAAUGUCUAAAUUUGUUUAUCUUUGCUUUGUGAGUAUGAAGAACUAAACCCCCCUUAGCUAGGGGGAAUUCAAAGCCAUGAACAUACUUGCAAUAUGAAUUGAUUACCUUCAGUUGUGAUUUCAUAAGUUGUGAAUUCAAUUUGUUUAACUGCUUGAUUGAUAACUUAUUAGUGUAUGUUUAUUAAGAGUGCACACUUAGUUUGCAUGCAUGAAUAUGAUGCUAGAGUAUAAGGGAGUAUCACCUAAUAGUUACAAACUUAUAUUCACAAGUAGUGAAUGUUGCUUAUAAACGAUCGCGUUAAAUGAAUUAUUGGCAGGAGUUUCAUGCUCAUCAUAGUAACGAAUGCCUCGUCAAUACUUAUAGUUUUCAUAAUGCUUAAUGAUCUUUGAUUGUAUCUUUAUUGUGCUGUUCACGAAAAAGACUUUUGAAGAAUGCU